AUGCAUGGUAAAAUUAUCAUAUUUUGUCUGAUCUCGGAAGCUAAGCAGGGUCGGUCUUGGUUGGUACUUGGGUGGGAGACCAUCUGGGAAUACCAGGUGCUGUAGGCAUU
Ribosomal RNA from Saimiri boliviensis boliviensis (Bolivian squirrel monkey), 110 nucleotides. The record is from Ensembl. NCBI's taxonomy places the organism in Eukaryota, Metazoa, Chordata, Mammalia, Primates, Cebidae.